Ananas comosus (pineapple) is the source of this 5036-nucleotide long non-coding RNA. RefSeq lists it as uncharacterized. The transcript is spliced from 7 exons. Lineage: Eukaryota; Viridiplantae; Streptophyta; Magnoliopsida; Poales; Bromeliaceae. The record is from RefSeq and is a predicted model, not a curated record.
AUUAAAAUUAAAUUUAGAUUUUAUGAAAUAGUAUUUUUUUGCUUGUGAUCUUGGGAUUUUCAAAACUAAUUAUUUGAUUCUAAAAAAUAUAAUUAAAAUUUUCAAUACUUGUUGCUAAACAUACGGAGCCUAAAAUUUUUUUUGGGCGCAGGAUCACUUUUCCCAAGGAGAGCCAAACACCCCCAAUUACGAGAAGAAGAAAUGAACUUUUUUUCUGUCGAUUUCUGUCGUCCUUGAGCGCAGUGCCAAAAGUGGGAGAUUAGUUUUGAGACCAGUUCCUUUUUUUAAUAAAUUGCUCCUGCGAGAAUAAGCUCAUUGGAGAGGGGGAGCAUUUCAUCGGUUUUCUCCUUAUUUUCUUCUCGAGCGAGUUAAGCUGGUGAGUUUUCUUGGGCAUCAAGCAUGAUUAGAGUACCCCUCUCGAUCAAAAAGGUUUUGCCCUAACUUCUCUCACCAGUCACCCCUGCGGCCCUCUCUUUUCUGCUAGGGCAUCACUUCCCCUCCCUGUCUUCCCUUCCGCCCGCUCGCCGAACGCCCACCACAUUGAAGAUCGGCUUCUUCACCCUUCUCGUCGCCCCAACGAUGGAUCGGUUUUCAAGUUUCUUGGCUUCUGCAUUCUCUACAAAGUCUGGCCUAAUCACUUGACGCUCAUCGAUAUCAUCCUAACAAAUCGGGGACCAACAUUGACGCCCAUAUAAUGCCUCACACGGCAUAGAAAAGAGGUUGUAGCUACCCUGCUGGCCGUUGGUGUUUAUGUUUCACCUGCUGACGCACAAGCAUUGAGCCACAUGCUGAGCCACAUCCAUCUCCAUUACGGGUCAUCAAAAAUUCUGCUUCAGAUCCCUGUACAUUUUGGUUCUACUGGGAUGCAUGGUGUAUGGAGUCCAGUGUGCUUCGGAUAGGAUCUCUUGCCUCAACUCCGAAUCUUCUUGCAUGCACUAUCGAUCUUGAAAGCGAAGAGAAUCUUCAAAACGCUAAACUAAUCACCAUACAUAUGUAGCUUCUCUGUUAAAUUUCAUUUGUCAUCACAUUAAUUACAUUAGGGUAACAUUUAGAAUUAAGUAUUCAAUAUAGGGAUGAUGUAUUAUCUAGCUCGAGACACUCUUUCCACAUUCUCAAGCUUUUCCUGCCGAAAAGAAGCUUAAAAUAGAAAAAUAUGAAAAUACGAGUAUGAGAAUUAUGUAAAAUAAUUUUUAAUGGGUGUAGUUUGGAAAGGGUCAAGCUGCCACUAGGUCCACUCAUGGCACACUAGUAAGAAAAAGAUAAAUAAUUGAUAGUAAGUAUACAAGUAAAUCAACUGGUAAUGUAAACGAUGACUAUCCUGUAGAAAGCAAUACACAAAGCGUAAUUGAUAGAUAAUCCACUUUUAUAGCUUUAUCCAUUAGUGCUUAUAAAUGACUAAUGUUACUAUGUAUUAGAAUUUACAUAUAGUAUUACUAAGUGAUUCUAUAUCUUGUCUCAUCAAUCGUCUUGUGGUUUCGUUCUAAUAUGCAUACUCUAGCCUUUGAGAAUCGAAAGGAUCGUACCCUCGCCCAUUUCAACACUUAAUAAUAAAGGUGAGUCGAGAGGAUCUGAACCUCACCUACAACGACAUCUAACCAUAGAGACAAGUCGAGAGGAUCGGAUCCUUGUAUGUUCAAUUAGCGUGUUUUCUAGAUGGGGAAUAAAUAUAAAAACUAGUAUAAAAGAAUAGCAUGCACUCUAAAAGAAAAAUGGUAUGCUUGGUAGAUUAUAAUGACUGACCAAUAUUAAAGACAUUGUGCUGCAGUCUGUAGUUCAAUAAAGAUCAGAGGAUACACUGCUCUGAUACACAAAUCUAGUUCUCGCAUAUUAGUAGCUGUUUGUAUCUAUGACAAAUCAAAUUAUGAUAUCAAUUAAUACUAAAUACACAAAGUGAAUAAAACAAUAAUAGAAAAUAAAAGAAAAAAACAUAGAAAAUCAACUACGAAAUCGGAGCGAUGUAUGCAUAAGUUUCAUAAAAACCGAACAAAUUCUUUAACUGUGGCCCUUAUACUGCCUUUAGUACUAUUUUCAGUUUCAUCUUUAGUAUCACUUCGAAUUCUACCUUCAGCACCACCUUUAGUACCACUACGAGUGCUGCCUUUAGUACACCUUUAGCACCACGUUCAAUAUCUCUUUCAGUACCACGUUUAGCAAGAAUUGUCUUAAGAAUACCUUUAUUAAUUUUUACUGUCCAUAUAUCGGUAGAAAUAAAUAUUUUUUCAUACAUAUUUUCUAUAUCUAUGUUUGGUGUAAAACUCUUAUGUUGUAGCUUCGCGUUUAACUUAUUAAUAAAUUGUGUUCUUUUCUCAAGUGACUAAAAGGUUGGAUGGUCUAGAACCUUACUGCUAUAAAAGAUUUGUUUCCGUUGGUCUAUUUAUAAUAGUAAGGUUUUAAACCAUCCAACCUUUUAGUCACUUAAGAAAAGAACACAAUUUAUUAAUAAGUUAAACGCGAAACUACAACACAAGAGUUUUACACCAAAUAUAGAUAUAGAGGACAUGUAUAAAAAGAUAUUUAGUUCUAUCGAUUUAUGGACAAUAAAAAUUGAUAAAAGUAUUCUUAAGACAAUUCUUGCUAAACGUGGUACUGAAAGAGAUAUUGAACGUGGUGCUAAAGAUGUACUAAAGGCAGCACUCGUAGUGGUACUAAAGAUGGUGCUGAAGGUAGAAUUCAAAGUGAUACUAAAGAUGAAACUGAAAAUAGUACUAAAGGCGGUAUAAGGGCCACGGUUAAAGAAUUUGUUCGGUUUUUAUGAAACUUAUGUAUACUUCCCUCCGAUUUCGUAGUUGAUUUGGUAUGUUUUUUUUUCUUUUAUUUUCUAUUAUUAUUUUAUUCACUUUGUGUAUUUAGUAUUAAUUGAUAUCAUAUUUUGAUUUGUCAUAGGUAGAAGCAGCUACUGUUAUGCGAGAACUGGAUUUGUGUAUCAGAGCAGUGUAUCCUUUGAUCUUUAUUGAAUUACAGGAUGCAGCACAAUGUCUUUAAUAUUGGUCAGUCAUUACAAUUUACCAAGCAUGCCCUUUUUCUUUUAGAGUCCAUGCUAUUCUUUUAUACUAGUUUUCAUAUUUACUCCCCAUUUAGAAAACACGCUAGUUGAACAUACAAGGGUCCGAUCCUCUCGACUUGUCUCUAUGGUUAGAUGCCGUUGUAGGUGAGGGUCAGAUCCUCUUGACUCACCUCUACUAUUGAGUGUUGAAAUGGGCGAGGGUACGAUCUUUUCGACUCUCAAAGGCUAAAGUAUGCAUAUUAGAACGAAACCACAAAACGGUUGAUGAGACUAGAUAUAAAAUCACUUAGUAAUACUGUAUGUAAAUUCUAAUAUAUAGUAACAUUAGUUAUUUUUUAGCACUAAUGGAUAAAACUAUAAAAGUGGAUUAUCUACUGCUUUGUGUAUUACUUUUUAGAGGAUAGUUGUCAUUUACAUUACCAUUUGAUUUACUUGUAUACUUACUAUCAAUUAUUUAUCUUCUCCUUACUAUUGUGUCUUGAGUGGACCUUGUGGCAGCUCGUCCUUUUCCGAAUUACACCCAUUGAAAAUUAUUUUACAUAAUUCUCACACUUGUGUUUUCAUAUUUUUCUAUUUUAGGCUUUUUUUCAGCGAUUAAGUUUGAGAACGUGAAAAAGGUGUCUCGAGCUAGAUAGAUAAAUCAUCCCUAUUUUGAAUAGUUGACCCUAAGUUUUAAUUCUAAUGUAAUUAAUGUGAUGACAAGUGCGAUGUAAGAGAGGAGUUAAAUAUGUAUAGUGAUUAGUUUAGAAUUUUGGAUUAAAAAACUUGUAUAUUUUCUUGGUUUCGAAAAGCACAGUAAAUGUUGAAUUUUUGGAUAAAAUGAUUGUUGUAUGCUACUGUUUUGUGUGGGCCAGAAAAGUUUUGUCCAUUCGGCAGGUUUGUUGCACGAAUCAGUUGAGGCUUCAUGGCAGUUCAUGGGGUGUAUUGAUUUGCAAGAACCGGAUUGAUGAAUUAUAGCAAUGUUUAUUCUGAUCUUUAUUGAACUACGGGAUGGAGCACACUAUCUUUAAUAUUGGACUUCAACAAGCAGUAGUAGUAGUGAAGGGGCUGCAGGGCUUGUUGGAUUGGUCGACUGUAACAAGCCUUCAGUUUGUUCCCCUUCAUCCUCUCAUGUUCUAUGAGCUGGAGCUAGCAACAUCAGCAGCACAUCACGAGCAACUCCUUCAACUUCCUCUCCAUUCCUGCUGAUUGGGCAUCCAAUAGCAGCUGCUGCAGUUUGGGGGCAGUGACAUCAAGUGCAGCAGCAGCAACUCAGCUGAACCUUUAUUGGGGUUUUGGAGGAAUUUCAAAAUUGGGGGUUGCUGGGAUUGUUCUUGCAUGUACUCCUGGUGAAGAAGGGAGCUUGAGGAGUGUGUAAUUUCAGCUAGAUUAGGAAUCUUGAUAGGUUGGAAAGGAACCUAUGUUCACCUUUUACUAGUUAGAAGCUUACUUCGGCCGAGUGAGAGUGUUUUCGACUGAGGAGCACCCUUCCAACUUCCCAUGUCAUUCCGCUCUCCGUGUUCCUUGCUGGUUUGGUCCCUGCACAUCCAGCAGACAACAACAGCAUGCAGCAGUAGGGCUGAUUCCGGCAGCAUUGAAGCAGCAGCUGAUUCUAGUUGCAGCAGCAAGGUUGGGUGUAUUGCAGCUGUAGCCAGGGCAAAAGCACCAAUAGCAAUCGAGGCAUCUUCCUCUUCUCCGUCAUCUUCUCUGGAAUAGAGCAGCAGCAGCAUCAAGUGCUGCCAGCUGCUUCACUGCAGCAGUGAAGCUGGCAGCAGGGUGGUUAAUUGCGAGGGGAGAAACUUUUUUUUGAUAUUGAUGAAGUUUUGAAAAUCCAAAUUCGAAAUUGAAGGUUCAUAACUUGAGUUGGGGAUGUUGGACAGUUGGAGUGUUGUUCAUACCUUUCUUGAGCUGAAAUUGUAGGUUAGUAGCUAUAAUUUUGAUGUUGAUCAAAGAUGGUGCAAUCCUGAUUUUUUGGACUGAACUGGACCAGUUUUGAUUUUUUAUAAAAUUCAUUUGAAUUUCUUCGAGAAUUUGAGCUUUGGAAGGGUUAUAA